RNAcentral lists this ribosomal RNA (478 nucleotides) under uncultured bacterium. RNAcentral's name for it is "partial 16S ribosomal RNA". It matches the Rfam family "Bacterial small subunit ribosomal RNA", at positions 28 to 523 of the family's 1533-position model. The record is from RNAcentral.
GACGAACGCUGGCGGCGUGCUUAACACAUGCAAGUCGAACGGUAAGGCCCUUCGGGGUACACGAGUGGCGAACGGGUGAGUAACACGUGGGUGAUCUGCCCUGCACUUCGGGAUAAGCCUGGGAAACUGGGUCUAAUACCGGAUAGGACCACUGCCCGCAUGGGUGGUGGUGGGAAGCUUUUGCGGUGUGGGAUGGGCCCGCGGCCUAUCAGCUUGUUGGUGGGGGGAUGGCCUACCAAGGCGACGACGGGUAGCCGGCCUGAGAGGGUGACCGGCCACACUGGGACUGAGAUACGGCCCAGACUCCUACGGGAGGCAGCAGUGGGGAAUAUUGCACAAUGGGCGCAAGCCUGAUGCAGCGACGCCGCGUGAGGGAUGACGGCCUUCGGGUUGUAAACCUCUUUCAGCACCGACGAAGCGCAAGUGACGGUAGGUGCAGAAGAAGGACCGGCCAACUACGUGCCAGCAGCCGCCGUAA